GGGAUUGUGGCUCAGUGGCAGAGCACUCGCCUAGCAUGCGCGGGGACCUGGGUUCAAUCCUUAGCACCA
Molecule: non-coding RNA, 69 nt
Organism: Ictidomys tridecemlineatus (thirteen-lined ground squirrel)
Lineage: Eukaryota; Metazoa; Chordata; Mammalia; Rodentia; Sciuridae
Source: Rfam